RNAcentral lists this ribosomal RNA (443 nucleotides) under uncultured bacterium. RNAcentral's name for it is "partial 16S ribosomal RNA". It matches the Rfam family "Bacterial small subunit ribosomal RNA", at positions 338 to 795 of the family's 1533-position model. The record is from RNAcentral.
CCUACGGGUGGCAGCAGUGGGGAAUAUUGGGCAAUGGGCGCAAGCCUGACCCAGCAACGCCGCGUGAAGGAAGAAGGCUUUCGGGUUGUAAACUUCUUUUCUGAGGGACGAAGGAAGUGACGGUACCUUAGGAAUAAUCCACGGCUAACUACGUGCCAGCAGCCGCGGUAAUACGUAGGUGGCGAGCGUUGUCCGGAUUUAUUGGGUGUAAAGGGAGUGUAGGCGGGAAAAUAAGUCAGAUGUGAAAACUCAGGGCUCAACCGUAGAACUGCAUCAGAAACUGUUGUGCUUGAGUGCUGGAGAGGCAAUCGGAAUUCCGUGUGUAGCGGUGAAAUGCGUAGAUAUAUGGAGGAACACCAGUGGCGAAGGCGGAUUGCUGGACAGCAACUGACGCUGAGGCGCGAAAGCGUGGGGAGCAAACAGGAUUAGAUACCCCAGUAGUC